RNAcentral lists this ribosomal RNA (238 nucleotides) under uncultured bacterium. Its description in RNAcentral is "partial 16S ribosomal RNA". It matches the Rfam family "Bacterial small subunit ribosomal RNA", at positions 96 to 334 of the family's 1533-position model. The record is from RNAcentral.
CGGCGGACGGGUGAGUAACGCGUGGGUAACCUGCCUCAUACAGGGGGAUAACAGUUGGAAACGGCUGCUAAUACCGCAUAAGCGCACAGUACCGCAUGGUACCGUGUGAAAAACUCCGGUGGUAUGAGAUGGACCCGCGUCUGAUUAGCUAGUUGGUGGGGUAACGGCCUACCAAGGCGACGAUCGGUAGCCGACCUGAGAGGGUGACCGGCCACAUUGGGACUGAGACACGGCCCAA